GAUGCUGGAUGUGGGGCCCGUUCCACGGGUUCCGUGUCGGAGCUAACGCGUUAAGCAUCCCGCCUGGGGAGUACGGCCGCAAGGCUAAAACUCAAAGAAAUUGACGGGGGCCCGCACAAGCGGCGGAGCAUGCGGAUUAAUUCGAUGCAACGCGAAGAACCUUACCUGGGCUUGACAUGUGCCGGACGGCCGCGGAGACGCGGCUUCCCUUCGGGGCCGGUUCACAGGUGGUGCAUGGUCGUCGUCAGCUCGUGUCGUGAGAUGUUGGGUCAAGUCCCGCAACGAGCGCAACCCUCGCCUCGUGUUGCCAGCGGGUCAUGCCGGGAACUCACGGGGGACCGCCGGGGUUAACCCGGAGGAAGGUGGGGAUGACGUCAGAUCAUCAUGCCCCUUACGUCCAGGGCUUCACGCAUGCUACAAUGGCCGGUACAACGGGAUGCGACAUGGUGACAUGGAGCGGAUCCCUGAAAACCGGUCUCAGUUCGGAUCGGAGCCUGCAACCCGGCUCCGUGAAGGCGGAGUCGCUAGUAAUCGCGGAUCAGCAACGCCGCGGUGAAUGCGUUCCCGGGCCU
Molecule: ribosomal RNA, 572 nt
Filed under: uncultured Bifidobacterium sp.
Lineage: Bacteria; Bacillati; Actinomycetota; Actinomycetes; Bifidobacteriales; Bifidobacteriaceae
Description: bacterial SSU rRNA
Rfam family: Bacterial small subunit ribosomal RNA
Source: RNAcentral